UUUUACACAUAAUCAGAGUAGUAGUUGAAGACAAUAUAAAGAGUAUUCCUCCAUUCCAUAAGAUAUGGAAUCUUGACAUUGAAGGAUUAGAACUUAAACCAUCAGUGUCUUCUAAUAAAGAUACCGACAAAGACAUCUUUUACAUAAAGCCAUCUAGUAUAAUUGAAAUGCAGCUUUCAAAGAAAAACACAGCAAUACAGUUACAAAGAUUUCCCAGACAAAGCAACUUUUUUGAAGGUCAAAGUAGUGGAAGCAAGUGGAAGACUGAAAUAAAGUCUUUGAUGGCAAAAAAUUCAUCUUCAGAAAGAAUAUAUAUUGGUGACAACGUUCAGAAUGGCACAAAUGGAGAGUGUGGAACUGUUGUUCAGUUUUAUUCCCAGGUAAUAAUGUAGAUUUAAUGAAGAAAUGUUAUUUCCACUUCUGAGAGACCAAAUGACACAGGAAUAAGGUUAUUUUAAGUCAAUAAAGUACAGCUACUCUGACAUGUUGUACGUUGUAUAAUUGAAUUAAAAUGUUAUCAUUGCAU
Long non-coding RNA from Mytilus californianus (California mussel), 526 nucleotides. RefSeq lists it as uncharacterized. Lineage: Eukaryota; Metazoa; Mollusca; Bivalvia; Mytilida; Mytilidae. The transcript has 3 exons. The record is from RefSeq and is a predicted model, not a curated record.